This is a long non-coding RNA of Cyanistes caeruleus (blue tit), 1695 nucleotides long. NCBI's taxonomy places the organism in Eukaryota, Metazoa, Chordata, Aves, Passeriformes, Paridae. The record is from Ensembl.
CUGAGCGGGCACACACGCCGUGCCCGGGCCCUCCCAGCGCCGCUAGCCACGGCUACUAACGACCAUCUGCCUCCCCCGGCCCGCACGCCCCACCUGCCCCAGCCGCGCUGGGGUCCGCAGCCCCUCACGGGACCGUCUCCGCUCCCCUUGCACACAGGAGCCUUGGCUGAUGCUUUAUUCCCUCUGCGGUGGCCACCUCCAGCCGCUGCGCUUUACUGAUCAACCACAGAGUCAUGGCCAAACAGCCUUCAAAUGCAGCCCAAAAAAGGGCCUGGAUUGAGCCAUGUGGGAGCUGGAAGGCUUUGACUCAGGAGCAUGGAAGGGGUCCCAACUGCAGUUUAAAGAUUAGAAGCUACACAUUGAGUGGACUCCUCAGGGCUCCCACUGCAUCCCAAACCCUUGGAAUUAGUGCUGCACAGGCACGGAUGAGAAAGCAGCCCCAUCCCUGUAGCCUGAGAAGACAAAGCAGGUUCUGCACCUCCUCCAUAGCCCAAGGCUGGACACAAGCCACCCAAAUAUUUUCAAGCUCAGUUCAACACCAGCUCAGGCCCACCUCAAGCUGUUUGAUCUGUGAGCAAACACUCUUUAUCUAUAAGCAACCUGCUCUUUCCCAACUCCCCGCAGCAGGAAUGCAGCCUCGGCUGUUUCCAGGCAGAAGCUGCCGCACACAGCCCUGCAAUUCCCCAACAUGCUGACUUCUUCUGUCCUGAUUAUUUUAUUGAUCUGCUCUACAGAAUGGAGGGACUCUAUCCCCUUUUUCCUAUUAAAUGCAGCCUGUUUUUCUAUAAAUUGAAUUUAUAGAUUAUUUAUUGACAUUUACACUGACACCCUUCAUGUGAGAUUUACACUGACACCCUUCAUGCCAUUGAUUUUCCCUGUUUGCGCAAUCCUGAUAGUCCAAUGCCAAAACAUUAAAAAAAACCAAAAAAAACCCCAAACAAACAAAAAAGCCCCCAAAAAUAUUCUUUCCAUCAUGAUCAUGUUCAGCAGUUUAUUACUGCUGCUUGCACCCCAGGUUAGCAGCAACCACUGUAAAGUUCUGCCUUGGAUCAGACAUUAAAAAAAAAAUAAGGUAAAUAUUUCAUAUUAACACGAAAGCAUUUGGGUUUGGAACAAUUCAGAACAUUCUCUGCUGUCUUGUGAUUUGUACACUCAGAGCUGGCCAGGACACAGCCCUUUUUCUGACUUGUUGUGUGACUGCUUUGAAUUCCUCUGGUCUUAUACCAGCUUCCCAAUCCCAGCUCAUUUUGGUCAAUCCUUGAUGGCACCAGGAGAAUUGAGCACUUGUUAAUGCAGCACUUGCAGAGCUUCCUUCUCCCCUGCCCUUCUUUUGGACAGCUCAAAGCUCUCAGUGUCACUUCAGCCGUCUGGGAUAGGACCUCUUGUACCUCAGAGGGUAAAUUUAGCACAGAUAUUUCUGAAAGCUGCUCACUUACAAGGCACCCCUGGCUGGCUUACAGAGAAGGGAUGGUUUGAAUCUAAAAAGAAUAACUCUAAACUUCUGUCUCCAUUAUUUCAGUGCAGCUACUCAUCGUGGAAGCUCUGAAUUCCCCACAUACACUGAGCCAUCUGCUCUAUUUAUUAUACCCAAAGACGUGCUCCAAAAAUUAUAAAAUCCCAACGAGACCAAAAGAACACAGAGAAAAAAUUCCCAUAGUCUGAUAUUCCAUCUGUGCAGCUUUUCCACUGCACACA